Molecule: ribosomal RNA, 122 nt
Filed under: Teratosphaeria hortaea
Lineage: Eukaryota; Fungi; Ascomycota; Dothideomycetes; Mycosphaerellales; Teratosphaeriaceae
Also listed under: 4 other names
Description: partial 18S ribosomal RNA
Rfam family: Eukaryotic small subunit ribosomal RNA
Source: RNAcentral
CGGACUGGCCCAGGGAGGUCGGCAACGACCACCCAGGGCCGGAAAGUUCGUCAAACUUGGUCAUUUAGAGGAAGUAAAAGUCGUAACAAGGUCUCCGUAGGUGAACCUGCGGAGGGAUCAUU